Molecule: ribosomal RNA, 244 nt
Filed under: uncultured prokaryote
Description: partial 16S ribosomal RNA
Rfam family: Bacterial small subunit ribosomal RNA
Source: RNAcentral
UCGGAGAAAAAUUUUGACUGUUUCUGAGGAAUAAGCAUGGGGUAAAUUUGUGCCCGCAGCCGCGGUUAGACAGAGGAUGCCAAGGUUUUUCGGAAAGAUUGGGGGUAAAGGGUUGGUAGGGGGUUUACCAAGUUUUUUGUCAAAGAUCAGGGCUUAACCGGGGCAGGCAGGAGAAACUAUUAGAAUAGAGUUCGGUAGGGGCAGAGGGAAUUCCCGGUGGAGGGGUGAAAUGCGUAGAUAUCGG